AUCAGGAAGAGGAGGAAAAUGAGCAUCUAAGAGCAUUGGGCAUGGGAACAUGGAGGAAGGCCUAAACUAGUGUGUCCCUGUGCAACUAGGGUCGAACAUUUGUUUUGGAAAUUUCCCGAUGCCUCCCAUGCCUAUUGUUCUUAGGUGUUUGAUAACCCACAAGUAUAGG
Molecule: microRNA precursor, 169 nt
Filed under: Triticum aestivum (bread wheat)
Lineage: Eukaryota; Viridiplantae; Streptophyta; Magnoliopsida; Poales; Poaceae
Description: MIR2118 microRNA precursor family
Rfam family: MIR2118 microRNA precursor family
Source: Rfam by way of RNAcentral